This 72-nucleotide transfer RNA is filed under the name Pangasianodon hypophthalmus (striped catfish). RNAcentral describes it as "tRNA-Glu". The record is from RNAcentral. Lineage: Eukaryota; Metazoa; Chordata; Actinopteri; Siluriformes; Pangasiidae.
UCCCUGGAGGACUAGGGGUUAGGCCUUGGUGCUUUCACUGCUGUGGCCCGGGUUCGACUCCAGGCCAGAGAA